AGAGGAUACCACGUGGUGGGGCAGCAAGUAUGCUAGCCCAUGUCUCUCUUCUUCCCCCUCCUUCUCCUCAUCGUCAUCUUCCUCCUCCUUCUCUUCCUCUUCUUCCUCCUUCUCCUCUUCUUCCUCCAGGGAGCAGAAGUUCUCACUGAGUCACUGGGUCCAUGAAUCCAUAACCCAGACUUCGAUAACAUAACUAACAAAAGCAAUCUAAGAAAGCGUUUGUCCUGGCUCGCAAUUUUCAAGGACAGCCCAUCAUGGCAAGGAGCCUGAAGAAAGCUGGUCACACUGAUCCACAGACAGGAAGUGGUAUGUGGAUACUCUGAAAGGAAGAUGAGUGCCUAUUUACACAGCAUGAGAAUUCUACAAAUGUCUGGCUGAAAAAAAUGCCAAAGCUUCAAGCCACACCUACUGGUACAUACCUGGAAUCCCAGCACUUGAGAGACUGAAGCAGGAGGAUUGUUGCAUGUUCAAGGCCAGCCUGGUCUACAGAGUGAACUCAAAGCCAGCCUGAAGUACAUAGCAAUACUCCAUCUCCAAAACCAAAGACAACAACAACAAAAAUUAAACAAGAUUGCCUUGUCUGGCUCCAGACGCCAUCACCACAGAGAGAACCCUUGUUCUGAGGCUUGUGUGCCCAAGACCUAACCCUAACUCUCAAGUCAAUAUUUUUCCU
This is a long non-coding RNA of Mastomys coucha (southern multimammate mouse), 673 nucleotides long. RefSeq lists it as uncharacterized. The transcript has 3 exons. The record is from RefSeq and is a predicted model, not a curated record. Lineage: Eukaryota; Metazoa; Chordata; Mammalia; Rodentia; Muridae.